Molecule: ribosomal RNA, 478 nt
Filed under: uncultured bacterium
Lineage: Bacteria
Description: partial 16S ribosomal RNA
Rfam family: Bacterial small subunit ribosomal RNA
Source: RNAcentral
GACGAACGCUGGCGGCGUGCUUAACACAUGCAAGUCGAACGGUAAGGCCCUUCGGGGUACACGAGUGGCGAACGGGUGAGUAACACGUGGGUGAUCUGCCCUGCACUUCGGGAUAAGCCUGGGAAACUGGGUCUAAUACCGGAUAGGACCCUGGGAUGCAUGUCCUGGGGUGGAAAGCUUUUGCGGUGUGGGAUGGGCCCGCGGCCUAUCAGGUUGGUUGUGGGGUGAUGGCCUACCAAGGCGACGACGGGUAGCCGGCCUGAGAGGGUGACCGGCCACACGGGGACUGAGAUACGGCCCAGACUCCGACGGGAGGCAGCAGUGGGGAAUAUUGCACAAGGGGCGCAAGCCUGAUGCAGCGACGCCGCGUGAGGGAUGACGGCCUUCGGGUUGUAAACCUCUUUCAGCACCGACGAAGCGCAAGUGACGGUAGGUGCAGAAGAAGGACCGGCCAACUACGUGCCAGCCGCCGCCGUAA